This 194-nucleotide ribosomal RNA is filed under the name Shewanella algae. RNAcentral's name for it is "partial 16S ribosomal RNA". It matches the Rfam family "Bacterial small subunit ribosomal RNA", at positions 1 to 182 of the family's 1533-position model. The record is from RNAcentral. Lineage: Bacteria; Pseudomonadati; Pseudomonadota; Gammaproteobacteria; Alteromonadales; Shewanellaceae.
ACUUUAAUUGAAGAGUUUGAUCAUGGCUCAGAUUGAACGCUGGCGGCAGGCCUAACACAUGCAAGUCGAGCGGUAACAUUUCAAAAGCUUGCUUUUGAAGAUGACGAGCGGCGGACGGGUGAGUAAUGCCUGGGAAUUUGCCCAUUUGUGGGGGAUAACAGUUGGAAACGACUGCUAAUACCGCAUACGCCCUA